AGGAACCGCAGACGCUCUGGGACUCAGCAGAGCCAUUCUGUGCAAUGAUGGUCUGGUGAAGAGGCUGGAGGAGCUGGAGAAAACCGCUGAACUUUAUAAAGGACUGAUGGAGCACACGAAGAGACUGUUAAGAGCUUUCUAUGAGCUCUCGCAGACUCACAGAGCGUUUGGUGACGUGUUUUCCGUCAUCGGUGUCCGUGAGCCGCAGGCCGCCGCCAGCGAAGCCUUCGUGAAGUUU
Long non-coding RNA from Sinocyclocheilus rhinocerous, 238 nucleotides. RefSeq lists it as uncharacterized. The transcript has 4 exons. The record is from RefSeq and is a predicted model, not a curated record. Lineage: Eukaryota; Metazoa; Chordata; Actinopteri; Cypriniformes; Cyprinidae.